This 808-nucleotide long non-coding RNA is filed under the name Struthio camelus australis. RNAcentral describes it as "lncRNA (ENSSCUG00000018196.1)". Lineage: Eukaryota; Metazoa; Chordata; Aves; Struthioniformes; Struthionidae. The record is from RNAcentral.
AGAGGAGGCAGCAAGCCGGUUCCUCUUGUGAAGGGGCAGCGGUGUACGCCCGGACUGUCUCCGCCGGCUCCUGCGGCCUGACCUCGGCUUUGCAGGAGGGCAACGCAGCAGAAUUUGGCAGCCACCUGAUCUGCAUGUGCAAUUAACCCGUUUCUCCACUAUAGGGCACUGACAGACUGCGCGAGAGAAACCGGAUCACCGGAGCAGCCCUGUCGGUACAAGCAAGCCCAUGUGCUAGAGCAGAGGAUCCCAAGCGAUGGGUGGGACAUGAACCACUUCAAAGGGGUAAGAAGCAGCAACACCCUCUUUGCAAAGGCACUGAUCUGAGCCGUGGAUCACCCUCUCCCAUGCCGGCCAGUACCAGCACCACCAGCAUCCUCAGCUGCAGGCUAUUGCAGAGCUGGAGGCUUUUGCUGCUGGAACAUUUUUGCUGGCCCCCAUCCAUGCACCUGCUAAGAUGCAGCUCCGGUGCCAAGAGCGUGCGCUCGGGUAGCUGAGGUGUACCAGGGAAGUGUCACCUCCACAUGCACGCGGGGAACAUGGCACAGAAAAAUUGACUUGAUUUGCCCCAGGACCCCUAAAAUGUAUGGCAGAAGCAAGAUUUGCACAGGCUUCCCUGAAGGCUUGAUAACUACAGAUUAGUAACUUCUUCACCAACCGGAGCGGGAGCUGCUGUGUGACAUUUCAAGGUCCUGCUACGAGCUGAGCCGCAGCAUCUCUGCACUGCCGCACACACAGAGCUCGCGGCAGGAUUAGUCCAAAGUGUGGUGGGUCGACUGCAGCACGUGCUCCCUGAGGCCCGGCCACU